RNAcentral lists this unclassified non-coding RNA (289 nucleotides) under Basidiomycota sp. Its description in RNAcentral is "partial contains small subunit ribosomal RNA, internal transcribed spacer 1, and 5.8S ribosomal RNA". The stretch from base 1 to 47 matches the Rfam family "Eukaryotic small subunit ribosomal RNA", at positions 1785 to 1831 of the family's 1831-position model. Lineage: Eukaryota; Fungi; Basidiomycota. The record is from RNAcentral.
AAAGUCGUAACAAGGUUUCCGUAGGUGAACCUGCGGAAGGAUCAUUAACACGUGCUACCCACGUUUAAACCAUCUAUCCUAGCGUGUUUCGUUGACGCCUUGUCUGAAAGAGGACAUCGAGUCGUUAAACCCAUCUACGUUUCCGAUGUUCCUAUUGAACAUAACUUUUUUAAUAUUCUUUUUUUACUCUUUUAAACCACUACUAUCUCAUGAUUCCAUUUUUUCUACUCGAAAGGGUAGGAGAAAUUAAAACUAUACACAACUCUUAGCAACGGAUAUCUUGGUUCUC